AACGUAGGGGGCAAGCGUUGCCCGGAUUCACUGGGCGUAAAGCGGGUGUAGGCGGUUCUCUAAGUCGGAUGUGAAAUCCAGCGGCUCAACCGCUGAAUUGCAUCCGAUACUGGGGAACUUGAGGACGGUAGAGGUUGGUGGAAUUCCCGGUGUACCGGUGAAAUGGGCAGAUAUCAGGAGGAACACCGGUGGCGAAGGCGGGUCUCUGGGCCGAUACUGACGCUGAGGAGCGAAAGCGUGGGGAGCGAACAGG
RNAcentral lists this ribosomal RNA (253 nucleotides) under uncultured bacterium. RNAcentral describes it as "partial 16S ribosomal RNA". It matches the Rfam family "Bacterial small subunit ribosomal RNA", at positions 524 to 776 of the family's 1533-position model. The record is from RNAcentral.